AAAGAUCAGAAUGGGGAGAUUCAUCGUCAACAACGCUGGCUCCCGUUGGUGCGCGAUGCCCCGGAAGGACCUUCGGGUUCCAUUAGCGAGGGCACACCACCUUCGGCGAAUGUUCCGGCGAGGUAGUCGUGCACUUCUCCCCUAGUAGAACGUCGCGACCCGUUGCGUGUCGGUCUACGGUCCGAGGCGGAGCCUGUCCGUCACCUUAACGGUGUUCGUGACAGACCCUCGGUUGCCUGGCCGACUGCGCGACGGUACUCAGACGGUAUCAGGCCGCAACCAAUCCAUUUUCGAAUGUGUGUGCGUCAGGACCGCCGCAAGCUAGGUUCAGUUAUAAUUACCCGGAUGUACGGACUAUGCGCCGUCCCCGGGUCUGGCCAGCUGUUAGCAGGAGGAGUCCUUGGACUGGCCAAGCUUUGAAUUACCGGUCGGCGACGCUAUUGCUUUGGGUACUCUCAGGACCCGUCUUGAAACACGGACCAAGGAGUCUAACAUGUGCGCGAGUCAUUGGGAUAUAAAUAAACCUAAAGGCGAAAUGAAAGUGAAUGUCGUCCUCUGCGUCGACCUAGGGAGGAUGGGCCUCGUUACGAUUAGGCCUCGCACUCCCGGGGCGUCUCGUUCUCAUUGCGAGAAGAGGCGCACCUAGAGCGUACACGUUGGGACCCGAAA
This 669-nucleotide ribosomal RNA is filed under the name Osmia lignaria (orchard mason bee). RNAcentral's name for it is "eukaryotic LSU rRNA". It matches the Rfam family "Eukaryotic large subunit ribosomal RNA", at positions 582 to 821 of the family's 3401-position model. Lineage: Eukaryota; Metazoa; Arthropoda; Insecta; Hymenoptera; Megachilidae. The record is from RNAcentral.